This 336-nucleotide ribosomal RNA is filed under the name Allenbatrachus grunniens (grunting toadfish). RNAcentral describes it as "partial 12S ribosomal RNA". The record is from RNAcentral. Lineage: Eukaryota; Metazoa; Chordata; Actinopteri; Batrachoidiformes; Batrachoididae.
UUUGGGGCCAUUUUCAAUAGAGCUCUUUAUUCUCUAUUUACUUCUAAAUCCUCCUUCGUAAGUAUGUUUCAAUACAAAGUUCGUAUGCUCUACAAGAGAAUGUAGCCCAUAAUUACCCUUUCAUGGGCUACACCUCGACCUGACGUUUUGAGUGGUACUGUAUUUUGCCUAGUGUUUAACUUUAAAGGCAGGCUGACGACGGCGGUAUAUAGGCUGAAAGGUACAAGAAAGGGUGAGGUAGAACGGGGGUUAUCGGUUAUAAAACAGGCUCCUCUAGGUGGGUUCAAAGCACCGUCAAGUCCUUUGGGUUUUAAGCUGGCGCUCGUAGUGUCCUGG